Triticum aestivum (bread wheat) is the source of this 127-nucleotide non-coding RNA. Lineage: Eukaryota; Viridiplantae; Streptophyta; Magnoliopsida; Poales; Poaceae. The record is from Rfam.
CUUAUACUUCCUCCGUCCGAAAAAACCUUGUCCGAAACUUGUCUUUCAAAUAGAUGUAUCUCGCACUAACUUGGUGCUAGAUACAUCCAUUUAAGGGACAAGCUUUUUCGGACGGAGGAAAUAUUUA